CCCACGGGAGGCUACAGUGGGGAAUAUUGGACAAUGGGGGCAACCCUGAUCCAGCCAUGCCGCGUGUGUGAAGAAGGCCCUCGGGUUGUAAAGCACUUUCAGUGAGGAAGAACGCCUGGUGGUUAAUACCCAUCAGGAAAGACAUCACUCACAGAAGAAGCACCGGCUAACUCCGUGCCAGCAGCCGCGGUAAUACGGAGGGUGCGAGCGUUAAUCGGAAUUACUGGGCGUAAAGCGCGCGUAGGUGGCUUGAUAAGCCGGUUGUGAAAGCCCCGGGCUCAACCUGGGAACGGCAUCCGGAACUGUCAAGCUAGAGUGCAGGAGAGGAAGGUAGAAUUCCCGGUGUAGCGGUGAAAUGCGUAGCGAUCGGGAGGAAUACCAGUGGCGAAGGCGGCCUUCUGGACUGACACUGACACUGAGGUGCGAAAGCGUGGGUAGCAAACAGGAUUAGAUACCCGGGUAGUC
Molecule: ribosomal RNA, 465 nt
Filed under: Vreelandella stevensii
Lineage: Bacteria; Pseudomonadati; Pseudomonadota; Gammaproteobacteria; Oceanospirillales; Halomonadaceae
Description: partial 16S ribosomal RNA
Rfam family: Bacterial small subunit ribosomal RNA
Source: RNAcentral